RNAcentral lists this long non-coding RNA (313 nucleotides) under Androctonus crassicauda. The record is from RNAcentral. Lineage: Eukaryota; Metazoa; Arthropoda; Arachnida; Scorpiones; Buthidae.
AAGAGAGAUAUUUUGAGAUUGAAACAUUUUUGUGCCUAGACUGGAAAGAUGCCCACUGUGUUUGUAUCUGUUUUUGGUUUUGACUUCUUCCUAACCUCCCUCUGCCCAGUGUGUUCACUUCCGCAUCCUGGCUAUGACUUUACCCCUUGUAUUGGGUUUUGAUGACCCAACCUUGUUUCUAAAGAUUGACUUAAUUUAUAGCACAAAUGUAUGGGAGGAAUGAGAGCAGAACUUCCUUUUCGUUUGUUUGAGAUGCAGAUUGAGUCUUGAAGAGGAAGGAGUAUUAUAUAUGCAAAUGACGUCCCAAUCCUAC